This 565-nucleotide ribosomal RNA is filed under the name uncultured Flavobacteriia bacterium. RNAcentral describes it as "bacterial SSU rRNA". It matches the Rfam family "Bacterial small subunit ribosomal RNA", at positions 8 to 570 of the family's 1533-position model. The record is from RNAcentral. Lineage: Bacteria; Pseudomonadati; Bacteroidota; Flavobacteriia.
AGAGUUUGAUCAUGGCUCAGGAUGAACGCUAGCGGCAGGCUUAACACAUGCAAGUCGAGGGGUAUAGUAGCAAUACUAGAGACCGGCGCACGGGUGCGUAACGCGUAUGCAAUCUACCUUUUACAGAGGGAUAGCCCAGAGAAAUUUGGAUUAAUACCUCAUAGCAUAGCAGCUUCGCAUGAAGUCACUAUUAAAGCUCCAACGGUAAAAGAUGAGCAUGCGUCCUAUUAGCUAGAUGGUAAGGUAACGGCUUACCAUGGCUACGAUAGGUAGGGGUCCUGAGAGGGAGAUCCCCCACACUGGUACUGAGACACGGACCAGACUCCUACGGGAGGCAGCAGUGAGGAAUAUUGGACAAUGGGGCGCAAGCCUGAUCCAGCCCAUGCCGCGUGCAGGAAGACGCAUCUUAUGGUGUGUAAACUGCUUUUGUACGGGAAGAAACACUCCCUCGUGAGGGAGCUUGGACGGUACCGUAAGAAUAAGGAUCGGCUAACUCCGUGCCAGCAGCCGCGGUAAUACGGAGGAUCCAAGCGUUAUCCCGGAAUCCUUGGGUUUUAAAGGGUCC